AAAAGAAAAAGGCAAAGCUGUUGAAAAACAGUGACGCAAAGCCCUAGGGUCUAAAGUAUGUAAGUGCUAUGAUCGCCGGUUGCCCUA
Coprobacillus sp. CAG:235 is the source of this 87-nucleotide non-coding RNA. The record is from Rfam. Lineage: Bacteria; Bacillati; Bacillota; Erysipelotrichia; Erysipelotrichales; Coprobacillaceae.